GAUGAACGCUGGCGGCGUGCCUAAUACAUGCAAGUCGAGCGAACGGACGCGAAGCUUGCUUCUCUGAUGUUAGCGGCGGAUGGGUGAGUAACACGUAGACAACCUACCUAUCAGACUGGGACAACUUCGGGAAACCGGAGCUAAUACCGGAUAAUAUUAUGAACCGCAUGGUUCUAAAGAGAAAGACGGUCUUGCUGUCACUUAUAGAUGGAUCCGCUCUGCAUUAGCUAGUUGGUAAGGUAACGGCUUAACAAGGCAACGAUGCAUAGCCGACCUGAGAGGGUGGUCGGCCACACGGGAACGGGACCGCGGUCCAGGCGCCUGCGGGAGGCAGCAGUAGGGAAUCUUCCGCAGUGGGCGAGAGCCUUGCGGAGCGGCGCCGCGUGAGUGAUAAAGGUCUUCGGAGCGUAAUGCUCUGUUAUUAGUGAAAAACAUAUGUGUAAGUGACUGUGCACAUCUUGACGGUACCUGAUCAGAAAGCCACGGCUAACUACGUG
This 497-nucleotide ribosomal RNA is filed under the name uncultured bacterium. RNAcentral's name for it is "partial 16S ribosomal RNA". It matches the Rfam family "Bacterial small subunit ribosomal RNA", at positions 28 to 507 of the family's 1533-position model. The record is from RNAcentral.